CGGGAUUGCAGGGCGUCGGCCACUCAGCUGCUGUGAGUUCAGAGAAAGGAGGCGAUGCUGGCUUUGAGGGAGACCCUUCCUUCCCCUCUGACCACUGCAUGUGUCACCCUGACGUGUCUCCUCCCGAAGACAGAGACCCUGCCUUUCUGGAUGGUUGUCAUCAGCCACCUUCUCCGCUGUGCUUGGAAUAAGUGCUUUGGUAGAGGCAGAGGACAUCGAGAUGGGCCCAGCCGAGCUUCAAGAUGGAAGGAACGGGGGGCCCUCAAUCACUCCUGGAGACGAGAGCCUCCCAUCCUUCGGGAGCCC
Molecule: long non-coding RNA, 306 nt
Filed under: Sus scrofa (pig)
Lineage: Eukaryota; Metazoa; Chordata; Mammalia; Artiodactyla; Suidae
Description: lncRNA (ENSSSCG00070024337.1)
Source: RNAcentral